RNAcentral lists this transfer RNA (67 nucleotides) under Goniada japonica. RNAcentral describes it as "tRNA-Asn". Lineage: Eukaryota; Metazoa; Annelida; Polychaeta; Phyllodocida; Goniadidae. The record is from RNAcentral.
UAUAAAUGGAAGCCAAAUAAGAGGCACCUAUCUGUUAAUUAGGUCAAUGUUAAAUAAACCCAUUUAG